RNAcentral lists this ribosomal RNA (1474 nucleotides) under uncultured bacterium. Its description in RNAcentral is "bacterial SSU rRNA". It matches the Rfam family "Bacterial small subunit ribosomal RNA". The record is from RNAcentral.
AGAGUUUGAUCCUGGCUCAGAUUGAACGCUGGCGGCAUGCCUAACACAUGCAAGUCGAACGGUAACAGGAGAGAGCUUGCUCUCUUGCUGACGAGUGGCGGACGGGUGAGUAAUGCAUAGGAAUCUGCCCAGUAGUGGGGGACAACUCGGGGAAACUCGAGCUAAUACCGCAUACGCCCUACGGGGGAAAGCGGGGGAUCUUCGGACCUCGCGCUAUUGGAUGAGCCUAUGUCAGAUUAGCUUGUUGGUAGGGUAAUGGCCUACCAAGGCAACGAUCUGUAGCUGGUCUGAGAGGACGAUCAGCCACACUGGGACUGAGACACGGUCCAGACUCCUACGGGAGGCAGCAGUGGGGAAUAUUGCACAAUGGGGGAAACCCUGAUGCAGCAACGCCGCGUGGAGGAUGACGCAUUUCGGUGUGUAAACUCCUUUUAUAUGGGAAGAUAAUGACGGUACCAUAUGAAUAAGCACCGGCUAACUCCGUGCCAGCAGCCGCGGUAAUACGGAGGGUGCAAGCGUUACUCGGAAUCACUGGGCGUAAAGCGCGCGCAGGCGGCCCGAUAAGUUGGAUGUGAAAGCCUACGGCUCAACCGUAGAACUGCAUCCAAAACUGUCGGGCUAGAGUCUGGGAGGGGAAGAUGGAAUUAGUUGUGUAGGGGUAAAAUCCGUAGAGAUAACUAGGAAUACCAAAAGCGAAGGCGAUCUUCUGGAACAGUACUGACGCUGAGGUGCGAAAGCGUGGGGAGCAAACAGGAUUAGAUACCCUGGUAGUCCACGCAGUAAACGAUGAAUGUUAGUCGUCGGAGUCCUAGUGACUUCGGUGAUGCAGCUAACGCAUUAAACAUUCCGCCUGGGGAGUACGGUCGCAAGAUUAAAACUCAAAGGAAUAGACGGGGACCCGCACAAGUGGUGGAGCAUGUGGUUUAAUUCGAAGAUACGCGAAGAACCUUACCUGGCCUUGACAUUGAUGGAACCUGGCAGAGAUGCCGGGGUGCCCUUUUGGGAGCCUGAAAACAGGUGCUGCACGGCUGUCGUCAGCUCGUGUCGUGAGAUGUUGGGUUAAGUCCCGCAACGAGCGCAACCCUCGUCACUAGUUACUAACGGUUCGGCCGAGGACUCUAGUGAGACUGCCUUCGCAAGGAGGAGGAAGGUGAGGACGACGUCAAGUCAUCAUGGCCCUUACGGCCAGGGCAACACACGUGCUACAAUGGGCAGGACAAUGAGACGCGAUACCGCGAGGUGGAGCAAAUCUAUAAACCUGUUCUCAGUUCGGAUUGUAGUCUGCAACUCGACUACAUGAAGCUGGAAUCACUAGUAAUCGUAGAUCAGCUAUGCUACGGUGAAUACGUUCCCGGGUCUUGUACUCACCGCCCGUCACACCAUGGGAGUUGAUUUCACCCGAAGCGGGGAAGCUAAACUGGCUACCCUCCACGGUGGGAUCAGCGACUGGGGUGAAGUCGUAACAAGGUAACCA